GACGAACGCUGGCGGCGUGCCUAAUACAUGCAAGUCGAGCGAACCCGGGGUGCUUGCACCCUGAGGGUUAGCGGCGGACGGGUGAGUAACACGUGGGGAACCUGCCUUGCUGUCUGGGAUAACACCGGGAAACCGGUGCUAAUACCGGAUGUCCCCGUUCCGGCACCUGCCGGAGAGGGAAAAGGCGGCUUUGAGCCGCCGCAGCAAGCGGGGCCCGCGGCGCAUUAGUUAGUUGGCAGGGUAACGGCCUCCCAAGGCGACGAUGCGUAGCCGACCUGAGAGGGUGAUCGGCCACACUGGGACUGAGACACGGCCCAGACUCCUACGGGAGGCAGCAGUAGGGAAUCAUCCGCAAUGGACGAAAGUCUGACGGUGCAACGCCGCGUGAGUGAUGAAGGUUUUCGGAUCGUAAAGCUCUGUUGUGAGGGAAGAAUAGGAUGGGGAGGAAAUGCCCGAUCUGUGACGGUACCUCACCAGAAAGCCCCGGCUAACUACGUGCCAGCCGCCGCCGUAA
Molecule: ribosomal RNA, 514 nt
Filed under: uncultured bacterium
Lineage: Bacteria
Description: partial 16S ribosomal RNA
Rfam family: Bacterial small subunit ribosomal RNA
Source: RNAcentral